RNA transcript from Arachis stenosperma, 2571 nucleotides. RefSeq lists it as uncharacterized. The record is from RefSeq and is a predicted model, not a curated record. The transcript has 7 exons. NCBI's taxonomy places the organism in Eukaryota, Viridiplantae, Streptophyta, Magnoliopsida, Fabales, Fabaceae.
UUUAAUCGCAAAAACGAUCAAAUUAUCGGUUUAUGAGUUGGUCUGAUCUAGUUCUAAUAACAAUAGGCGAAAAAUAUACAGUUUUAAUAACUAUGUGUGAAUUAGAAAACCAUUGAACUAUAUAUUUAUUUCAAAACAAUAUUAAAUAGUAUCAUAAAAAAAUAAAAUCAAAUACACGAGUAGUUAAGAAAUAAAUUCCCCCAGACACAAUGGAAAAGAAGUCGCAUCAGUGUGGCAUGAUGGACAGACAUCAAACCCAGAAAAAACCCAGAGUCCUCUGCCUCCACGGGUUCAGGACCAGCGGUGAAAUCCUCAACAAACUUGUUUCACGAUGGCCCCAAUCUGUAACACAAAAGCUGGACCUCGUUUUCCUCGAUGCAAAGUUCCCAGCACAAGGAAAAUCAGAUGUUGAAACCAUUUUUGAUCCUCCUUACUUUGAAUGGUUCCAAGCCAACCAGGAUUUUUCGGAGUACAUGAACUUCGAAGAAUGCUUAGCAUACGUUGAAGAUUUCAUGGUGGAAAAUGGUCCUUUUGAUGGCUUACUUGGAUUCUCUCAGGGCGCCAUUUUGGCGGCAGCAUUGCCUGGAAUGCAGGCUCAGGGUAUAGCACUUGGGAAGGUAAAGAACAAGAUCAAGUUCUUGAUUUUGAUAUCAGGAGCCAAGUUUGGUGGAAACAAGUUUGGAGCUCCUAAACUAGCUUCUAAUGCAUUCUCAAAACCAAUUGAUAUACCCUCUAUCCACUUUAUAGACAAACAAUGAUAAUUGUAAACAAUGAUGUGUGGUGAAGGGGAAACGGAUUUCAUGAAGCAGGAGAGCACUGAAUUGGGGGAGGCAUUCUUGGAUCCUGUUGUGAUUCAUCAUCCAAGAGGCCACACUGUUCCCAGACUUGAUGAUAAGAGUGUUGAAACUGUGCUCGGUUUCAUUGAGAAGAUUAAUUAAGCAAGCAAGAGACUGUUAUGAUGAUGAUGUGAGAUGCAUUUUUAUCAUCAUCAUGCCAAGACUUUGUCUAGCAGCCCAAAAUGGAAUAAAAAUAAAACAUCAAGGCUAAUGGGCUGGUUAGUCAAGUGGAGCCCAAAAGAAACAAAGCCAAAGAAACCAACGGGCUGAAUAUGAAGAAAGCAAACCCAAGCCCGAAAUGCUUACCCAAGUUGAUCCCACCAAGCUUCUCAUACAAGAUUGAAGUCUUCACUCUCUCUUAUUGUUUCGGUCAGCAACAAAAUAUUAGAAAGAGAGCUGUGUUCCUCCUGCUACUUUUAUCAGAGAAGAAAGAAAAAGAAAGCUUAAUCAUAAAGCAAAGAUCUAAUCACCCAUCAAAGUGAGUUAGAAAUUAAAAGGUGAUUUAUUUCCAUUUGCAUGCAACUUACUUUCUUCACUUCAUCUCAAAUCUUCUGGCUUACCAUUUUUGGAUAAAUGGAAAAAGUGUUCUCUGAUCUUCAUUGCUAUGCAUCUACGGUCAUAUAUGUGUCUUGGGGACCAAGUUGUUUUUCAAUGGCCAAGAUCUGGGAUUACCAUUGAAAAUGGUUGUUUAUACUGCUCAAAUGUCUUUGGUCAAGCAAAAAGGAGACAGCUUGGAAAUCCCUAAUUUGGGACAAAUGAAGAAAGCAAUCUCUGUUCACCACUACUGUACAUCAAUGGUCAAGAUUGUUUCUUGGGGACCAAGAAGUAUUUCAAGGGUUCAGAUUAGGCUUCACUAUUGAAAAUAAUUUUCUUUGCUUCCCUGAGGCUUUCGGUCAUGAAAGAAGGUCAGACUCAAACUUCUAAUUUGGGAAUUAACUGAAAAAAAAGGUGAUGUGGUGUGUGAGAAAAGCACACAGAUCAAGGUGUUGACCUUGGAAGAAGAACCAAGCAACAUGCAAGGAGAUAAAAAGAAGCUUGCUGUUCAUUCAGGCGUAAGGAGAGAAAACCAGAGUUUGAAAGUUUUGUUCUGAGAAGAGCUCUUUGAAGAAGUUCAACUAACUGGACAGUGUAACCUAAUCAAAGGUGCAUUCCGCCAGUAUGAAGAACUGAAUCAGAGGCUUGCUAAUAUGGUUUUUCGCAUAGCACAGAGGCUGUUGAUGAAGUCAAUCUCCUUCAUGUUUUACUGAUUGUAAUGUAUUUUUCUAAGCUUAUCUUUCUGUAAUUUCUUGAGAGAAAAGGCAAAGUGAGAAAGCUUAAGAAAAAGCCAUGAGUGAAAAAAGGCUGAGAGAUACACUUGAGAGAAAAGCCUAGAGUUAUUUUCAGAUUUCUUUAGGUUGAUUAAGUGUUUUGUAUCUUGUACCAGUUUGGUAUCCCUUUCUUAGUUGGGAUAGCACUAAGAGUGAAUAGUUGAGUGUUAGCAUAGCCAAUGUCAAGUUAGGUUAGAACUUGAGUGUGAAAUUGGUGUAUGUAAUACUGUUAACUAUAGUGAAAUUCUUCCAUAGUUGUGGAGGAGACUGGAUGUAGGUUGCAUAGCACAAAGCAACCGAACCAGGAUAUAUGCUGGUGUUAGCUUUUUCUUCUCUGUCAUGUUCUGUUUUCUGAUAUUCAUGAGACAAAAAUAAAUUGUCUCAUAAAUUUCCGCUGCUGAGUUCAAACAGAAUUAGAUUUGUAACUU